RNAcentral lists this ribosomal RNA (274 nucleotides) under uncultured bacterium. Its description in RNAcentral is "partial 16S ribosomal RNA". It matches the Rfam family "Bacterial small subunit ribosomal RNA", at positions 523 to 796 of the family's 1533-position model. The record is from RNAcentral.
CUACGGAGGGUGCAAGCGUUGUUCGGAUUCAUUGGGCGUAAAGCGAGUGUAGGCGGUUUGACAAGUCGAAUGUGAAAUCCCGAGGCCCAACCUCGGAACUGCAUCCGAAACUGUCAGGCUAGAGUCCCGGAGAGGAUGGCGGAAUUCCCGGUGUAGGGGUGAAAUCCGUAGAUAUCGGGAGGAACACCAGUGGCGAAGGCGGCCAUCUGGACGGUGACUGACGCUGAGACUCGAAAGUGUGGGUAGCAAACAGGAUUAGAAACCCUAGUAGUCC